Molecule: ribosomal RNA, 400 nt
Filed under: uncultured bacterium
Lineage: Bacteria
Description: partial 16S ribosomal RNA
Rfam family: Bacterial small subunit ribosomal RNA
Source: RNAcentral
AAUAUUGGGCAAUGGGCUCAAGCCUGACCCAGCAACGCCGCGUGAGGGAAGAAGGUCUUCGGAUUGUAAACCUCUGUCCUUGGGGACGAAGAAAGUGACGGUACCUAAGGAGGAAGCCCCGGCUAACUACGUGCCAGCAGCCGCGGUAAUACGCAGGGGGCAAGCGUUGUCCGGAAUUCUUGGGCGUAAAGGGUGCGUAGGCGGCCCUUUAAGUCAGAUGUGAAAGCCCACGGCUCAACCGUGGGAUUGCAUUUGAAACUGGAGGGCUUGAGUAUCGGAGAGGGUAGUGGAAUUCCCAGUGUAGCGGUGAAAUGCGUAGAUAUUGGGAGGAACACCAGUGGCGAAGGCGACUACCUGGACGAUUACUGACGCUGAUGCACGAAAGCUAGGGGAGCAAACA